UACAAAACAAUAAAAAAUCUAAUUUAUUAAUAAAUAACUAAAACUAUAAACUUUAAACUUUUUUUAUUAAAACCGAAAGGGAAAAUUUUUCAAUAUUAAAUAAGAAAAAUAAAUGUACCUUUAGCAUAAGGGGAUACUAAAAAAAAAUAAAAUUUUAUAUUUCCCGAAAUGUUUUGAGCUAAAUAUUUAAUUUAAUUAAUGUUUCAAUAUUAAAUAAAAUUAAAUUUUAGAAGUGAAAUUCCUAUCAAAAAGCAUGAUAUCUGGUUAUAUAAAAUAAUUUCACGUAUUUCUAUAAAUAUAUAAAAUUUAUUUUAAAAACUUAUAGAAAAUUAAUUUUGGGAUAAUCUGAAAUUAACAAAUUUAAAGACUUAAAAAGGUAAAUUUAAAGAAUAAAAUUUUCUUUGUUAUUUUUAUAAAUAAAUUUAUAUUUUUUAUAAAACUAAUUUAAAUUAUUUAUUAAAUUAAAUUUUAAUAUUUAAAUAAAAAUGGUACUAUUAGUAAAAGUGAUUAUUACUUUUCAAACUUAACUUUUAAAAUAAAUUAGAAUUUUAUUAAUUUAAAAGAAUUAGGCAAAUAUAUUUUCUGACUGUUUAAUAAAAACAACGCAUUUAGUAUAUUAAUAAAUGCAAAUCCUGCUCAAUGAAAAUUUUAAAUUGCUGUAGUAUUUUGACUAUACAAAGGUAUUGAAAUAAGAUUUUAAUUGAAUGCUAAGAGAAUGGAAUUACAGAAAAUAGCUUUUUUUAGAUUAAAAAUUGAAAUUUUUUUAAUUUGUGCAGAAACAAUUAUUAAUAUUAAGGACAAGAAGACCCUAUGAAUUUAUAAAUUUAUGUUAUAGUAAUUAAUAUAAAAUAAAUUUUGGUUGGGGCGACAAAAAAAAAUAAAAAACUUUUUUUUUAUAAAAUGAUCCAUUAUUAAUGAUUAUAUGAAAAAUACUCUAGGGAUAACAGCGUUAUAUUUUUUGAUAGCUCAUAUUGACAAAAAAGUUUGCGACCUCGAUGUUGGAUUAGGAUACUUUUUUAAUGAAGAUAUUAAAAAAAGAAGUUUGUUCAACUUUUAAUUUCCUACAUGAUCUGAGUUUAGACCGAUGAGAAUCAGGUUGGAUUCUAUCUUAAUAAUAAAACAAUUUUAAUUAGUACGAAAGGAAUUUUAAAAUUUAAUUAUUAAGAUAAACAACUUUAUUUGCAUCAAUUUUUGUAAUU
Molecule: ribosomal RNA, 1199 nt
Filed under: Rhipicephalus haemaphysaloides
Lineage: Eukaryota; Metazoa; Arthropoda; Arachnida; Ixodida; Ixodidae
Description: 16S ribosomal RNA
Source: RNAcentral